Molecule: long non-coding RNA, 1721 nt
Organism: Zonotrichia leucophrys gambelii
Lineage: Eukaryota; Metazoa; Chordata; Aves; Passeriformes; Passerellidae
Exons: 3
Source: RefSeq, a predicted model, not a curated record
CAAGAAGGUAUUAAACUUUUGUGGUGGGAGACAACAGUAUGGAGCCCCUGCAAUAAGAUGACAACAAGAGACAACCACAUACUGAUGUUCACGGAAUUCCACAUGACCUAGAGAGGUCUGUUCUGAGGAGGAGCUGGAGACCAUUAUGUCGAUGGCACAGCUCAGGCAAGAACGGAGGAUCCAAGCUUCAGCUUAAACGAGGGCCUGGGUGUCCAAGGGGUGAAUGGAGUCCCUUGGGGUGACUUGGCAGGGACCAGCCAAAGCCUUCUGGUGCUCUCAGGGUCCUGAAAAACCAAAAUAUCAGAUUUUUCUGUAGCAAGGAGAGCACUGUUUCCUCUUUACGUUUAGCACACCCCAGCUGACAUGUUGAUCAAAUAAACUCCCUUCCCAAUCUUUUUCCAUAAGAAGGUGGUGACAGAGUAGCAAAGGCAUCCAAGAAUCUGGACCUACAAAGUUAAUUCUUUCCCCAAAGAUGGCUCCCAGUCAACCCAGCCAUGCACAGAUCAACAAGGAACUGCAGUAUAAAGCUUGAAAACCAAGACAUUCAAGCAAAAGAUAUGCAUUAAAAUACAAAGCAUAAUAAGUUUUUCUUCAAUUUUAAGCCUUUCUGUACCUGAUUAUGAGUUUUUUGGUAUGAAAAGCCCUGAAUGCUACUUAGCCAACCAGAGAAUUGAGAUUCAGAGUCCUAUAUCUUCAAAUUCAUGAGUGUUUGGCUGGAUUUUGGGAACAAUAAUGGCUCCCUUAUUCCCCCCAGUUAAAAGAGAAGAGAUUUAUCCCUCCUUCCUGGGUGGCUUUUCCCCAGUGACUGUUUGCAGUGCCAGUGAAUCCAUUUUAAUGGCUAUCCACUGUAACCUACAGCAGAUACAAUCCUGAUCCAAGCACUGCUUCUGCACAGCACCUGUGAAACUGUACAAGAGUGUUAGUGAUGAUGGGAUUGUCACAAUGGAAUUCAGUUCCUCUGGUUUGCAGUUUUUCUUGCUAAUUAUUUUUAAGGAGACUAAAUCUUCAAUAACUGAACCCAGUUUUUCUUGCUACUUGAACCAUCUGGAAAGAGCACUAGAUAUUUACCCUUUGUAAGCUCAUUAGAUCUCACUUGCAGGUUUUCUUUCUCUCCUCCUGUAAGGAAAAGGAUGUGAUCACUGUAGCUCUUUCUUGUGGGCAAAAACUUUCAUAGGAAGUGACUGCAAUGUUAGAAAUUUGUCAUUUUGAUUUGGGCAACACUUGACUUUUCUUAUGUGCAAUAAAUCUGGAAUUCAGCAGUAGGACACAAUGGAACACUCAAAAAUGCCUUAUUACUCAGUUCUGGAUUCUUGGAAUAGAUGUAUUUUAGGAUGUGUAACUAGUGAGGUUUUACAGGAUACUGGUUCAGUAUAUUCUCAAUUUGUACAAAGCUUUAUGUCAGAAUGUACACAGGGAAAAAACACAGCAUGAAAUUAGAAAAGUUUAACUCUGGUUAUUAUUAUUCUGUAGCUUGUCAUGACAAAUGAUACCUGAAGUCAUGGAAGCUGGAAAAUUAUUUGUGGAUACACAGGUACCUGGCAUGUUCACUGGAGAGCAAUUGAAGUAAAUCAGUAGUUAUUUUUUGUGUUUCUCCCAUCUCUUCUCACUGCAGAGCAAAACCAAAAGGUUGUUAUGGUCCUUAAUAAGAAGCAGAACAUUUAAUUUAAGAUUGAAUAGUUCAGUUUUUCAUUUCUCUGCUAUUUUAAAUGUUUAUUACUAUG